RNAcentral lists this transfer RNA (73 nucleotides) under Gloiopeltis furcata. Its description in RNAcentral is "tRNA-Ile". It matches the Rfam family "tRNA". Rfam says of the family: Transfer RNA (tRNA) molecules are approximately 80 nucleotides in length. Their secondary structure includes four short double-helical elements and three loops (D, anti-codon, and T loops). Further hydrogen bonds mediate the characteristic L-shaped molecular structure. tRNAs have two regions of fundamental functional importance: the anti-codon, which is responsible for specific mRNA codon recognition, and the 3' end, to which the tRNAs corresponding amino acid is attached (by aminoacyl-tRNA synthetases). tRNAs cope with the degeneracy of the genetic code in two manners: having more than one tRNA (with a specific anti-codon) for a particular amino acid; and 'wobble' base-pairing, i.e. permitting non-standard base-pairing at the 3rd anti-codon position. Lineage: Eukaryota; Rhodophyta; Florideophyceae; Gigartinales; Endocladiaceae. The record is from RNAcentral.
GGGUCCAUAGCUUAAAGGUUAGAGCAUACGCGUGUGACACGUAAUGUUGAUUGUUCGAAUCAAUCUGGACCCA